CUAGGUGAUCGAGGGGAUUCAGUAUAGAAGUCAGACGAAUCUACAGGUGUAUAUAUUGUCUUUCGUAGGUUUGUUUCUUAUAAUAGUUAAUUUAUCAUAUAUGUAAUAUGUUAGCAAAAUGAUGAAGAUGAAGUUUUGAUGAUGCCCAAAUUAAGUCAAGAUUUAUCAAGAUUCAUGAAGAUCCUUUGAAGACUUAUUUUUGUUUUGAAAAGCUUUUGUAAUAAUUGUAGUUUAAUUGUUUAGGACUUAGAUUUGUAGUAGGUUUUGAUUCUUGUACCUUUAUAGUUUAUAUUUGUUGUUUAGAAUCAAAACUUCCCCGUUUUAAU
Molecule: long non-coding RNA, 326 nt
Filed under: Vigna radiata
Lineage: Eukaryota; Viridiplantae; Streptophyta; Magnoliopsida; Fabales; Fabaceae
Description: long non-coding RNA (VRAD_LNC016579)
Source: RNAcentral